Molecule: unclassified non-coding RNA, 227 nt
Filed under: Hevea brasiliensis (rubber tree)
Lineage: Eukaryota; Viridiplantae; Streptophyta; Magnoliopsida; Malpighiales; Euphorbiaceae
Source: RNAcentral
AAAAUAUAGAGACUAAAUAGUAAUAUACCCAUUGAGAUAGCUGUAUGCAGUAGAUUUGGAGAGCAAGGGUUUAAAGAUUUAGUUAAUGCAUUUAUGAGGUUGAGGCAAGAAGGUAAUGUUAAGGAAUAUCAAGAUAAGUUUGAAGACCUUAGGGUGAGAAUGGAAAGAUUAAUGCUUGAGUAGGGAAAGGCUUAUUUCAUAUUUGGAUUUAUUGGGGGAUUAAGGGA